This 465-nucleotide ribosomal RNA is filed under the name uncultured Klebsiella sp. RNAcentral's name for it is "bacterial SSU rRNA". It matches the Rfam family "Bacterial small subunit ribosomal RNA", at positions 338 to 795 of the family's 1533-position model. Lineage: Bacteria; Pseudomonadati; Pseudomonadota; Gammaproteobacteria; Enterobacterales; Enterobacteriaceae. The record is from RNAcentral.
CCUACGGGCGGCAGCAGUGGGGAAUAUUGCACAAUGGGCGCAAGCCUGAUGCAGCCAAGCCGCGUGUGUGAAGAAGGCCUUCGGGUUGUAAAGCACUUUCAGCGGGGAGGAAGGCGGUGAGGUUAAUAACCUCAUCGAUUGACGUUACCCGCAGAAGAAGCACCGGCUAACUCCGUGCCAGCAGCCGCGGUAAUACGGAGGGUGCAAGCGUUAAUCGGAAUUACUGGGCGUAAAGCGCACGCAGGCGGUCUGUCAAGUCGGAUGUGAAAUCCCCGGGCUCAACCUGGGAACUGCAUUCGAAACUGGCAGGCUAGAGUCUUGUAGAGGGGGGUAGAAUUCCAGGUGUAGCGGUGAAAUGCGUAGAGAUCUGGAGGAAUACCGGUGGCGAAGGCGGCCCCCUGGACAAAGACUGACGCUCAGGUGCGAAAGCGUGGGGAGCAAACAGGAUUAGAUACCCCGGUAGUC